This 415-nucleotide long non-coding RNA is filed under the name Androctonus crassicauda. The record is from RNAcentral. Lineage: Eukaryota; Metazoa; Arthropoda; Arachnida; Scorpiones; Buthidae.
AGGAGUUUAAGAGAAAGGUAAAGGAACACAAAAGAGAUAUUAAGAAUGCCAGCAUGAAGACAGAAGGCCAAAAAUGCCUAUCAAUAAUCUAGACAUCAAAUGGGAAAACUCCAGAAUAACUAAACAGGUAGCGAACCUUGAGGAAUUACCCGUAGCGGAAACCAUCCAGAUUUAUAAAGGCAGACAGGAAAUGACUGUCAUAAAUAAUAGACAAACUGACUCAAUACAAAAAUCUUGGGAAUAUCUUGGGAUUUUGGCAUACUUCCCCAAGCCAGUUCUUAAAUAGGGAGACUUCCAUUCCUUUAGGACAUUUUGUGUACUAGUUUCUAAUUUUUAAGUGUUAAUUUUUAAAUUUUAGUUUUGUUUUUAUUUAUAUCCUACUAUUGUUCUACUCCAUCCCUGUAUUAAUUGUACC